CCUACGUGCGGCAGCAGUGAGGAAUAUUGGUCAAUGGACGAGAGUCUGAACCAGCCAAGUAGCGUGAAGGAUGACUGCCCUAUGGGUUGUAAACUUCUUUUAUAAAGGAAUAAAACGAGGCACGUGUGCCUUUUUGCAUGUACUUUAUGAAUAAGGAUCGGCUAACUCCGUGCCAGCAGCCGCGGUAAUACGGAGGAUCCGAGCGUUAUCCGGAUUUAUUGGGUUUAAAGGGAGCGUAGAUGGGUUGUUAAGUCAGUUGUGAAAGUUUGCGGCUCAACCGUAAAAUUGCAAUUGAUACUGGCAGUCUUGAGUACAGUUGAGGUAGGCGGAAUUCGUGGUGUAGCGGUGAAAUGCUUAGAUAUCACGAAGAACCCCGAUUGCGAAGGCAGCUUACUAAACUGUGACUGACAUUGAUGCUCGAAAGUGUGGGUAUAAAACAGGAUUAGAUACCCGAGUAGUC
This 460-nucleotide ribosomal RNA is filed under the name uncultured bacterium. Its description in RNAcentral is "partial 16S ribosomal RNA". It matches the Rfam family "Bacterial small subunit ribosomal RNA", at positions 338 to 795 of the family's 1533-position model. The record is from RNAcentral.